Long non-coding RNA from Apis florea (little honeybee), 857 nucleotides. Lineage: Eukaryota; Metazoa; Arthropoda; Insecta; Hymenoptera; Apidae. The record is from RefSeq and is a predicted model, not a curated record.
AUUCUUUCCACUCAUCCAUAUCGAUCGAGAGCGCAAAUUGCGUCGGUUGCAUAUUCCAGGCGAAAAGUGUCGCACGCUGAUGCGCGCAAUCGGCGAUCGACGAUUCCCCUGACAAGUCAAAGCCGAUCGUGAAAGGUGCUAUGUACGCGGGACGUUAAUUGCUGACAGCGUGUAUCCCCGAGUUUUAAUAAAGUGACGGUCGUUAAGAUCGCAACGGCCAGUUAACUUCUUGCCCUCGUCAACCGGUCUCGUUACGCCAAGUGGCUUAGUGAAUUCUGGAAUACCAUACGGUUGGAAACGAGAUCGGCUAAUCCACUCGCACACAGACACCGUUCAACCUACCUACUUUUUCUCCACGGAAUCUCAGCGGCUGUAUAGUUCCGCGGUGAAAUAUGUCAAUAGCCUAGGCGCUGCAACGUGAAACGCGAUUUCAACAUCGAAUCUGAACGAGCAAUAAACAGGUGCAGCUAAAGUUCUUCGAAAAAAAACUUGCCCGCUGUUAACCACGAACGAAUAAACAGCUAACCCAGAAAUUCUUGAAACGCAUUUUCUUUUCACGUGCAAUCGACUUCUAUCGUUCGACAUUUUGAAAGGCGAAUAAAAACGGGAGCAGUACGCACAAGAACGUGCCGCAAUGUGUUCGAGAGAUAGCUAAUUAUGUAAUUUUCAGAUAAAUCGGAUAAAUCUUGAAACGAAUCUCUAGAAUUGUGUGGACAGUUGUGUUCCUCAAAAGAUUAUCAUUGGAGAUAAUUUUAAGGAAAUUGAUAUAAUUUGUAAGUAACGUAAUUUCCAUGAUAAAUUGGAGUGAACGAUAAUUUUUUGUCGAAUAAAAUAUUAUAAUUGAAUAAUUAAUUCUA